RNAcentral lists this ribosomal RNA (660 nucleotides) under uncultured Actinomycetes bacterium. Its description in RNAcentral is "bacterial SSU rRNA". It matches the Rfam family "Bacterial small subunit ribosomal RNA", at positions 763 to 1425 of the family's 1533-position model. Lineage: Bacteria; Bacillati; Actinomycetota; Actinomycetes. The record is from RNAcentral.
GGGGAGCGAACAGGAUUAGAUACCCUGGUAGUCCACGCCGUAAACGGUGGGCACUAGUUGUGGGGACCUUCCACGGUCUCUGCGACGCAGCUAGCGCAUUAAGUGCCCCGCCUGGGGAGUACGAUCGCAAGAUUAAAACUCAAAGGAAUUGACGGGGCCCCGCACAAGCAGCGGAGCAUGCGGCUUAAUUCGACGCAACGCGAAGAACCUUACCAAGGCUUGACAUAUACAGGAAUAUGGCAGAGAUGUCAUAGCCGCAAGGUCUGUAUACAGGUGGUGCAUGGUUGUCGUCAGCUCGUGUCGUGAGAUGUUGGGUUAAGUCCCGCAACGAGCGCAACCCUCGUUCUGUGUUGCCAGCAUUUAGUUGGGGACUCACAGGAGACUGCCGGGGUUAACUCGGAGGAAGGUGGGGAUGACGUCAAAUCAUCAUGCCCCUUAUGUCUUGGGCUGCACGCAUGCUACAAUGGCUGGUACAAACGGCUGCAAUACCGCAAGGUGGAGCGAAUCCGAGAAAGCCAGUCUCAGUUCGGAUUGGGGUCUGCAACUCGACCCCAUGAAGUCGGAGUUGCUAGUAAUCGUAGAUCAGCAACGCUACGGUGAAUACGUUCCCGGGGCUUGUACACACCGCCCGUCACGCCACGAAAGUCGGUAACACCCGAA